Non-coding RNA from Salmo salar (Atlantic salmon), 4220 nucleotides. Lineage: Eukaryota; Metazoa; Chordata; Actinopteri; Salmoniformes; Salmonidae. The record is from RefSeq and is a predicted model, not a curated record.
AUAUUGGACUCAUCUAAAGAAAUGCUUAAGAGACUGUGUAUAUAUGUACUGAAAUGUCUGCGGUAUAAAGAUACAGUAAUGUGGAAAUGCAGGAGAGACCAAGACUGGACAAUAAGCUUUGGAAUUAAGUUAUUCAUGUACAGUGCAUUUGGAAAGUAUUCGGACUCCUUCCUUUUUUCCACAUUUUGUUACAUCACAGCCUUAUUUUAAAAUAGAUUCAAUAAUUUUUGUUCUCAUCAAUCUACACACUACCCCAUAAUGACAAAGUGAAAACAGUUUUUAAGAAAUGUUUCCAAAUGUAUUACAAAUAAAAAAUCAGAAAUACCUUAUUUACAUAAGUGUUCAGACAAUUUGCUAUGAGAUUUGAAAUUGAGCUUAGGUGCAUCCUGUUUCGAUUGAUCAUCCUUGAUGUUUUUACAACUUGAUUGGAGUCCACCUGUGGUAAAUUCUAUUGAUUGGACAUGAUUUGGAAAGGCACACACCUCUCAACACAAGCUCCCACAGUUGACAGUGCAUGUCGGAGCGAAUUGAUUUCAGGGAGGGCUAAAAUGUCCAGUUUAGUUUCAGUCUGAGCCGACUGUCCAGUCCAUUUCAGUCUGUGUUAUUUAUUAAUCCAUUUCAGUCUGAGACAUGUUCCCUUGCGUUCCAAGGCUCUGAACUGCUCUAAGCAGGCAGAGUUCAUGGUCCCAUGAUGUCCACUGAAUGGAAUCCUAGCCUGCAUUGAGAUGUGUCAACAUUUUUAUAUUUAUUACUGAUAUCUCUCUUAGUAAAUAUUGAUUUUGUGACCACAACUUUUUUUCCCAGCAAGGAAAUGGUUUUUAUUAUCACCUGGAAGGUAGUAAAUGUGUUAUGAACUGGUUUAUAUAUUGCUGUGGUGGUAACUACUGUGGUGGUACCUGGCAAGGUGAGCUGGGACUAAGCCUACCUUUUUUCUUAGGUCAGUUUCACAUACAUACAACCCAUUUUAAAGGAGGAAGACUGCGGUUCAACUGUCUGCUGACUGAAUAGAACAUUGAGGUGUGUCAGCUGCUGACUGAAUAGAACAUUGAGGUGUGUCAGCUGCUGACUGAAUAGAACUGCUGACUGAAUAGAACAUUGAGGUGGGUCAGCUGCUGACUGAAUAGAACAUUGAGGUGUGUCAGCUGCUGACUGAAUAGAACAUUGAGGUGUGUCAGCUGCUGACUGAAUAGAACAUUGAGGUGUGUCAGCUGCUGACUGAAUAGAACAUUGGGGUGUGUCAGCUGCUGACUGAAUAGAACAUUGAGGUGUGUCAGCUGCUGACUGAAUAGAACAUUGAGGUCUGUCAGCUGCUGACUGAAUAGAACAUUGAGGUGUGUCAGCUGCUGACUGAAUAGAACAUUGAGGUGUGUCAGCUGCUGACUGAAUAGAACUGCUGACUGAAUAGAACAAUUAGGUGGGUCAGCUGCUGACUGAAUAGAACAUUGAGGUGUGUCAGCUGCUGACUGAAUAGAACAUUGAGGUGUGUCAGCUGCUGACUGAAUAGAACAUUGAGGUGUGUCUGCUGCUGACUGAAUAGAACAUUGAGGUGUGUCAGCUGCUGACUGAAUAGAACAUUGAGGUGUGUCAGCUGCUGACUGAAUAGAACAUUGAGGUGUGUCUGCUGCUGACUGAAUAGAACAUUGAGGUGUGUCAGCUGCUGACUGAAUAGAACAUUGGGGUGUGUCAGCUGCUGACUGAAUAGAACAUUGGGGUGUGUCAGCUGCUGACUGAAUAGAACAUUGAGGUGUGUCAGCUGCUGACUGAAUAGAACUGCUGACUGAAUAGAACAAUUAGGUGGGUCAGCUGCUGACUGAAUAGAACAUUGAGGUGUGUCAGCUGCUGACUGAAUAGAACAUUGAGGUGUGUCAGCUGCUGACUGAAUAGAACAUUGAGGUGUGUCUGCUGCUGACUGAAUAGAACAUUGAGGUGUGUCAGCUGCUGACUGAAUAGAACAUUGAGGUGUGUCAGCUGCUGACUGAAUAGAACAUUGAGGUGUGUCAGCUGCUGACUGAAUAGAACAUUGAGGUGUGUCAGCUGCUGACUGAAUAGAACAUUGAGGUGGGUCAGCUGCUGACUGAAUAGAACAUUGAGGUGGGUCAGCUGCUGACUGAAUAGAACAUUGAGGUGUGUCAGCUGCUGACUGAAUAGAACAUUGAGGUGUGUCAGCUGCUGACUGAAUAGAACAUUGAGGUGUGUCAGCUGCUGACUGAAUAGAACAUUGAGGUGUGUCAGCUGCUGACUGAAUAGAACAUUGAGGUGUGUCAGCUGCUGACUGAAUAGAACAUUGAGGUGUGUCUGCUGCUGACUGAAUAGAACAUUGAGGUGUGUCAGCUGCUGACUGAAUAGAACAUUGAGGUGUGUCUGCUGCUGACUGAAUAGAACAUUGAGGUGUGUCAGCUGCUGACUGAAUAGAACAUUGAGGUGUGUCAGCUGCUGACUGAAUAGAACAUUGAGGUGUGUCAGCUGCUGACUGAAUAGAACAUUGAGGUGUGUCAGCUGCUGACUGAAUAGAACAUUGAGGUGUGUCAGCUGCCGACUGAAUAGAACAUUGAGGUGUGUCAGCUGCUGACUGAAUAGAACAUUGAGGUGUCAGCUGCCGACUGAGUAGAACAUUGAGGUGUGUCAGCUGCUGACUGAAUAGAACAUUGAGGUGUGUCUGCUGCUGACUGAAUAUAACAUUGAGGUGUGUCAGCUGCUGACUGAAUAGAAGAUUGAGGUGUGUCUGCUGCUGACUGAAUAGAACAUUGAGGUGUGUCAGCUGCUGACUGAAUAGAACAUUGAGGUGUGUCAGCUGCUGACUGAAUAGAACAUUGAGGUGUGUCAGCUGCUGACUGAAUAGAACAUUGAGGUGUGUCAGCUGCUGACUGAAUAGAACAUUGAGGUGGGUCAGCUGCUGACUGAAUAGAACAUUGAGGUGGGUCAGCUGCUGACUGAAUAGAACAUUGAGGUGUGUCAGCUGCUGACUGAAUAGAACAUUGAGGUGUGUCAGCUGCUGACUGAAUAGAACAUUGAGGUGUGUCAGCUGCUGACUUAAUAGAACAUUGAGGUGUGUCAGCUGCUGACUGAAUAGAACAUUGAGGUGUGUCAGCUGCUGACUGAAUAGAACAUUGAGGUGUCAGCUGCUGACUGAGUAGAACAUUGAGGUGUGUCAGCUGCUGACUGAAUAGAACAUUGAGGUGUGUCUGCUGCUGACUGAAUAUAACAUUGAGGUGUGUCAGCUGCUGACUGAAUAGAAGAUUGAGGUGUGUCUGCUGCUGACUGAAUAGAACAUUGAGGUGUGUCAGCUGCUGACUGAAUAGAACAUUGAGGUGUGUCAGCUGCUGACUGAAUAGAACAUUGAGGUGUGUCAGCUGCUGACUGAAUAGAACAUUGAGCUGUGUCAGCUGCUGACUGAAUAGAACAUUGAGGUGUGUCAGCUGCUGACUGAAUAGAACAUUGAGGUGUGUCAGCUGCUGACUGAAUAGAACAUUGAGGUGUGUCAGCUGCUGACUGAAUAGAACAUUGAGGUGUGUCAGCUGCUGACUGAAUAGAACAUUGAGGUGUGUCAGCUGCUGACUGAAUAGAACAUUGAGGUGUGUCAGCUGCUGACUGAAUAGAACAUUGAGGUGUGUCAGCUGCUGACUGAAUAGAACAUUGAGGUCUGUCAGCUGCUGACUGAAUAGAACAUUGAGGUGUGUCAGCUGCUGACUGAAUAGAACAUUGAGGUGUGUCAGCUGCUGACUGAAAUACAACAUUGAGGUGUGUCUGCUGCUGACUGAAUAGAACAUUGAGGUGUGUUUUGAGGUCUUGCCCUUUUUUUUAUAAGCCUUAUCAGUCUAUUUGUAUUGCUGUCCAAAUGUUCUGCGACGAGAAGGAUUAGAGCUGAAAUAUUACUUUGAUUUCUAGGCCAACUAUCAAUGACAAUCAUUUCACAUUUCAAGAAUUACUUCAUUCAUGAUUUGCUUUCUUGUCAACAUGUUUAUCUGAGCUAUUUCACCGUAACCCCUUAACCAUUCACCUGUUGUAUGGGAUAUGUACUGGUGUGUGAACAGAGGUGAUAGCAAGUGUUUUAUAUUCUUUAUCGUUGGCAGUGAUUAACUAGUGUCUAACUGAUGCAAAGUGUAUGUGUAACUUCUUGGUUUCCUUCUUACUAAGUUAGCUGAAUUGGCACAUUUCUGGAUUCAUAAUAACUGUUGGCUUGUAAGACUGAUCACUCAGUCAGAGAUAAAGGUGUGUGUGUG